CGCACAUUGCGCCCUUUGGCAUUCCGAGGGGCAUGCCUGUUCGAGCGUCAUUACACCACUCAAGCCCGGCUUGGUAUUGGGCGGUAGGGUCCUCCCUACGCCUCAAUUUCACCGGCUGGACGACCCGUAUCUCAGCGUUGUGGUAUUAAGUUCGCUGGCGAGAGGGACGUCCGCGCCGUUAAAUUUCCAAAAAGGUUGACCUCGGAUCAGGUAGGGAUACCCGCUGAACUUAA
RNAcentral lists this unclassified non-coding RNA (233 nucleotides) under Pectenia sp. RNAcentral's name for it is "partial contains 5.8S ribosomal RNA, internal transcribed spacer 2, and large subunit ribosomal RNA". Lineage: Eukaryota; Fungi; Ascomycota; Lecanoromycetes; Peltigerales; Pannariaceae. The record is from RNAcentral.